Long non-coding RNA from Chinchilla lanigera (long-tailed chinchilla), 397 nucleotides. RefSeq lists it as uncharacterized. The transcript is spliced from 2 exons. NCBI's taxonomy places the organism in Eukaryota, Metazoa, Chordata, Mammalia, Rodentia, Chinchillidae. The record is from RefSeq and is a predicted model, not a curated record.
GGCAACUGGGUCUGGCCUGGCGUUCCCAGACGCUGGGUCCUCUCGCCUUCCCCCUUCUGGAGCAGCCGGGUCGGGCCUGUCCUAAGUGUAUCCGCUCCGGAACUCUGGGCACAAACGCUAAGGCACAAAAAGACUGGUUGCGCCUGCAUUUGGAGGAGGAUCAGACCCAGGAGCUGGGAUAACUAUGUCAAGCAGGGAAAAGUCAUCAGCUCAGCUGGAAGCUGUAGAUGGCAGCUGCUGAAGACACAGACACUAACAAGCUCACAGGAUGCCACUGGAACCAGAAUUCUCCAGAGAUGUGUUCUGACAGAUGACAAUGGAACUGGGGCUCGCAGGAGGUCUAGAGGCUUGCAAGUGGUUAAAAAACAAAACAAAACAAAACAAAACAAAACCAGAA